This 447-nucleotide ribosomal RNA is filed under the name uncultured bacterium. RNAcentral's name for it is "bacterial SSU rRNA". It matches the Rfam family "Bacterial small subunit ribosomal RNA", at positions 354 to 796 of the family's 1533-position model. The record is from RNAcentral.
GUCUAGAGGCUUCGGCAAUGCGCGAAAGCGUGACCGAGCGACGCCGCGUGCGGGAUGAAGGCCUUCGGGUUGUAAACCGCUGUCAGUGGGGAAGAAUGCCCGGAUGGUGAAUUCGGGAGCGACGGUACCCGCAGAGGAAGCCCCGGCUAACUCCGUGCCAGCAGCCGCGGUAAUACGGAGGGGGCAAGCGUUGUUCGGAUUUACUGGGCGUAAAGGGCACGUAGGCGGAGUAGCCCGUCCGAUGUGAAAGUGCUACCGCUCAACGGAGCAAAGCCAUCGGAAACAGUUAUUCUUGAGUCCGGGAGAGGUGAGUGGAAUUGCCGGUGUAGCGGUGGAAUGUGUAGAGAUCGGCAAGAACACCAGUGGCGAAGGCGGCUCACUGGCCCGGUACUGACGCUGAAGUGCGAAAGCGUGGGGAGCGAACAGGAUUAGAAACCCCUGUAGUCC